Molecule: ribosomal RNA, 1539 nt
Filed under: Pseudomonas hygromyciniae
Lineage: Bacteria; Pseudomonadati; Pseudomonadota; Gammaproteobacteria; Pseudomonadales; Pseudomonadaceae
Description: bacterial SSU rRNA
Rfam family: Bacterial small subunit ribosomal RNA
Source: RNAcentral
GAACUGAAGAGUUUGAUCAUGGCUCAGAUUGAACGCUGGCGGCAGGCCUAACACAUGCAAGUCGAGCGGUAGAGAGAAGCUUGCUUCUCUUGAGAGCGGCGGACGGGUGAGUAAUGCCUAGGAAUCUGCCUGGUAGUGGGGGAUAACGUUCGGAAACGGACGCUAAUACCGCAUACGUCCUACGGGAGAAAGCAGGGGACCUUCGGGCCUUGCGCUAUCAGAUGAGCCUAGGUCGGAUUAGCUAGUUGGUGGGGUAAUGGCUCACCAAGGCGACGAUCCGUAACUGGUCUGAGAGGAUGAUCAGUCACACUGGAACUGAGACACGGUCCAGACUCCUACGGGAGGCAGCAGUGGGGAAUAUUGGACAAUGGGCGAAAGCCUGAUCCAGCCAUGCCGCGUGUGUGAAGAAGGUCUUCGGAUUGUAAAGCACUUUAAGUUGGGAGGAAGGGUUGUAGAUUAAUACUCUGCAAUUUUGACGUUACCGACAGAAUAAGCACCGGCUAACUCUGUGCCAGCAGCCGCGGUAAUACAGAGGGUGCAAGCGUUAAUCGGAAUUACUGGGCGUAAAGCGCGCGUAGGUGGUUAGUUAAGUUGGAUGUGAAAUCCCCGGGCUCAACCUGGGAACUGCAUUCAAAACUGACUGACUAGAGUAUGGUAGAGGGUGGUGGAAUUUCCUGUGUAGCGGUGAAAUGCGUAGAUAUAGGAAGGAACACCAGUGGCGAAGGCGACCACCUGGACUGAUACUGACACUGAGGUGCGAAAGCGUGGGGAGCAAACAGGAUUAGAUACCCUGGUAGUCCACGCCGUAAACGAUGUCAACUAGCCGUUGGGAGCCUUGAGCUCUUAGUGGCGCAGCUAACGCAUUAAGUUGACCGCCUGGGGAGUACGGCCGCAAGGUUAAAACUCAAAUGAAUUGACGGGGGGCCCGCACAAGCGGUGGAGCAUGUGGUUUAAUUCGAAGCAACGCGAAGAACCUUACCAGGCCUUGACAUCCAAUGAACUUUCUAGAGAUAGAUUGGUGCCUUCGGGAACAUUGAGACAGGUGCUGCAUGGCUGUCGUCAGCUCGUGUCGUGAGAUGUUGGGUUAAGUCCCGUAACGAGCGCAACCCUUGUCCUUAGUUACCAGCACGUCAUGGUGGGCACUCUAAGGAGACUGCCGGUGACAAACCGGAGGAAGGUGGGGGAUGACGUCAAGUCAUCAUGGCCCUUACGGCCUGGGCUACACACGUGCUACAAUGGUCGGUACAGAGGGUUGCCAAGCCGCGAGGUGGAGCUAAUCCCACAAAACCGAUCGUAGUCCGGAUCGCAGUCUGCAACUCGACUGCGUGAAGUCGGAAUCGCUAGUAAUCGCGAAUCAGAAUGUCGCGGUGAAUACGUUCCCGGGCCUUGUACACACCGCCCGUCACACCAUGGGAGUGGGUUGCACCAGAAGUAGCUAGUCUAACCUUCGGGAGGACGGUUACCACGGUGUGAUUCAUGACUGGGGUGAAGUCGUAACAAGGUAGCCGUAGGGGAACCUGCGGCUGGAUCACCUCCUUA